Molecule: non-coding RNA, 1005 nt
Organism: Caretta caretta (loggerhead turtle)
Lineage: Eukaryota; Metazoa; Chordata; Testudines; Cheloniidae
Source: RefSeq, a predicted model, not a curated record
CAUGUCAGCACUCCCAUGUCAGCACACAGCUGGGUCUAGCCCAAGAUAAGAAUCAGUACAGGGGAGGGAACAAAGUGGCACCAGCUCAGGAGCAAAUCCAGCCUCAAGUCUGGAGGCAGAACGCACAAUAGGGGAGAGAAGAAGCACUGCUGACUCCUUUGAAGAGAUGACUUUGGUGCAGGAAACCGGAGUGAGUUGCCUUGGAAACCCAAACACUGAUGAUUUUUCUCUGCUGCAAUUUGGAUGCAUCUCACCAGGCCCACAAACAUGAUACAGUUCUGCAGUGACCUAGAAUCUGGCUUUCAACGUCUCCAAAUCAAAGAAUAUUUCCAACACACCUCUGAACAACAUACUAACCCACAGAAUCCUUCCUACCAGCACUACAAAAAAGAAGGAUUCUGCAUGGACUCCUCCUGAAGGUCGAAACAACAUACUGGACUUCUACAUAGAUUGCUUCUGUCGACAUGCAUGGGCUGAAAUUGUGGAAAAGCUCCAUCACUUGCCCCAUAACCUCAGCCGUGCUGAACACAACACCAUCAACAGCCUCAGGAACAACUCUGACAUCAUAAUCAAAAAGGCUGACAAAGGAGGUGCUGUCAUCAUCAUGAAUAAGUUGGAAUAUGAACAAGAGGCUGCUAGGCAGCUCUCUAACUCCCCAUUCUACAGGCCAUUAUCCUCUGAUCCCACUGAGGAUUACCAAAAGAAACUACACCAUCUGCUGAAGAAACUACUGAAAAAGCACAGGAACAGAUCUGUGCAGACACAUGCCUAGAACCCUGAGCAGGGUUAUUCUAUCUGCUACCCAAGUUCCAUAAACCUGGAAAUCCUGGACACCCCAUCAUCUCAGGCAUUGGCACCCUAACAGCAGGAUUGUCUGGCUAUGUGGACUCUCUCCUCAGGCCCUAUGCUACCAACACUCCCAGUUAUCUUCAAGACACCACUGACUUCCUGAGGAAGCUACAAUCCAUUGCAAAAAGAAAAGGAGUACCUGUGGCACCUUAGAGA